RNAcentral lists this transfer RNA (75 nucleotides) under Gordonia phage GodonK. RNAcentral describes it as "tRNA-Arg". It matches the Rfam family "tRNA". From Rfam's summary of the family: Transfer RNA (tRNA) molecules are approximately 80 nucleotides in length. Their secondary structure includes four short double-helical elements and three loops (D, anti-codon, and T loops). RNAcentral also lists the same sequence under 1 other name. The record is from RNAcentral. Lineage: Duplodnaviria; Heunggongvirae; Uroviricota; Caudoviricetes.
ACCCGCGUAGCUCAGUGGAUAGAGCAACAGGCUACGAACCUGUGUUGUCGGGAGUUCGAAUCUCUCCGUGGGUGC